CUGCUCGUAGCACAACGGAUAAUGCACCGGACUCCGACUCCGGGGAUUGCGCGUUCAAAUCGCGCCGAGCAGA
Molecule: transfer RNA, 73 nt
Filed under: Oscillospiraceae bacterium
Lineage: Bacteria; Bacillati; Bacillota; Clostridia; Eubacteriales; Oscillospiraceae
Description: tRNA-Arg
Rfam family: tRNA
About the family: Transfer RNA (tRNA) molecules are approximately 80 nucleotides in length. Their secondary structure includes four short double-helical elements and three loops (D, anti-codon, and T loops). Further hydrogen bonds mediate the characteristic L-shaped molecular structure. tRNAs have two regions of fundamental functional importance: the anti-codon, which is responsible for specific mRNA codon recognition, and the 3' end, to which the tRNAs corresponding amino acid is attached (by aminoacyl-tRNA synthetases). tRNAs cope with the degeneracy of the genetic code in two manners: having more than one tRNA (with a specific anti-codon) for a particular amino acid; and 'wobble' base-pairing, i.e. permitting non-standard base-pairing at the 3rd anti-codon position.
Source: RNAcentral